This 520-nucleotide ribosomal RNA is filed under the name uncultured Glomus. RNAcentral's name for it is "SSU rRNA". It matches the Rfam family "Eukaryotic small subunit ribosomal RNA", at positions 569 to 1084 of the family's 1831-position model. The record is from RNAcentral. Lineage: Eukaryota; Fungi; Glomeromycota; Glomeromycetes; Glomerales; Glomeraceae.
AGCAGCCGCGGUAAUUCCAGCUCCAAUAGCGUAUAUUAAAGUUGUUGCAGUUAAAAAGCUCGUAGUUGAAUUUCGGGGUUAGUACGCUGGUCAUGCCUUCGGUAUGUACUGGUGUUACCGAUUCCUACCUUCUGAAGAACCGUCAUGUCAUUAGUUUGGUGUGGCGGGGAAUCAGGACUGUUACUUUGAAAAAAUUAGAGCGUUUAAAGCAGGCUCGCGCUUGAAUACAUUAGCAUGGAAUAAUGAAAUAGGACGUUCGAUCCUAUUUUGUUUGGUUUCUAGGAUUGACGUAAUGAUUAAUAGGGAUAGUUGGGGGCAUUAGUAUUCAAUUGUCAGAGGUGAAAUUCUUGGAUUUAUUGAAGACUAACUACUGCGAAAGCAUUUGUCCAAGGAUGUUUUCUAUUAAUCAAGAACGAAAGUUAGGGGGAGUCGAAGACGAUCAGAUACCGUCGUAGUCUUAACCAUAAACUAUGCCGACUAGGGAUCGGAUGAUGUUGAUUUUUUAAUUGACUCAUUCGGC